Molecule: long non-coding RNA, 334 nt
Organism: Phyllostomus discolor (pale spear-nosed bat)
Lineage: Eukaryota; Metazoa; Chordata; Mammalia; Chiroptera; Phyllostomidae
Exons: 2
Source: RefSeq, a predicted model, not a curated record
UCCCACUGAUAUCUGCAUUAUUUCAUAAUAUCCAAAAAGGAGACUUUCAGUGGAAAGAGUGGUGAAUGGCAGAGAUGAAUUGUUGAAGAACUCAAUAGAAAAAUGUCAUAAUUCAUGGACCCUGAAAACUAUGUAAAAAGAUCAAAUUUAAACCUGUGAUUUGGAGCUUACUCAUCAGAAGAGAAAUAUCAUGAGCUAUUUGCUCUCUCUGCUUUAACACAGCUCUGGCAAGCCUGGAAGUUGUGUUGAGAUCGUCAAAUCUAUAGUCAAGGACCAUCUUUGUGAAUCAUGAAACCAUAUGGCACUGGUUGUCUGAAUUGGAAAAAAAACAAAA